Molecule: small nuclear RNA, 99 nt
Organism: Lynx canadensis (Canada lynx)
Lineage: Eukaryota; Metazoa; Chordata; Mammalia; Carnivora; Felidae
Source: Ensembl
GUUCCCUAUGGUGGCACAUAUACUAAAACUGGAAUGAUACACAGGAGAUUAGUGUCACCCCUGGCCAAGGAUAACAUUCAUGAAGCAUUCCAUAUGUUG